GCAACCAGAGACAGAAAGCCAGUCUCAGGCAAGUGAUAUCAUAUUUUCUCUGGUUUGUAGUUCCUGCAUAUAGUCACAGAAAACCAUGUGGGUAUAUAUUAAGUGAAAGUGGAAGUGAAAUUGUCCAGGGGAAAAUAGAGGAUUGGCAGGAAGGGGAGGAGCAAGAAAAGGGAAGGUGGGAGUAACAAGGCAGUAUAUGCUCACCAUACAGUAUAUAGCCAUAGGAAAACAAAAGAACAAGCAGAAGCACAGAAGCUCAGGGGAGCAACAUUACUACACACUGGAAGAUCGGGGACUGAUGCUAAAAUUGAUGUCUGAAUUCAUUGAGGGUAGUCAGGCAAAGAAGGGGAGAUGGUGUUCUCCAAGAAUGCUCAUCAGCCUCGGGCUCUUACGUCGACAUCUUUGUAAGCACUGCCCAGCAGAGCUAUGUGAAAAAGCUACCCCGGGCUGCCUCCCUCAUGGCCAGCAUAUCCAGACCAGUAACCAGGCUCUCCUGGGGUCCUGCCUUAGAAAUUUCUUGAUCACAGUACUAACUCCCAUUUUUUACUGCUCUAUUUUCAUGACUUACUGAUGACAGCGCUGCCGAUUUACCAUAACUGGCACUCACACUUGGAUACGAUAGAGGCUCUGCAAAGGGAACACCUAGCAAAAGUUAGAUAAAAAAAAAAAAAAAAAAA
Molecule: long non-coding RNA, 677 nt
Filed under: Rattus norvegicus (Norway rat)
Lineage: Eukaryota; Metazoa; Chordata; Mammalia; Rodentia; Muridae
Description: long non-coding RNA NONRATT023988
Source: RNAcentral